GUCAGGACGCCGAACAUCACAAAUGUUGACCUCUUGGGCUCAUCGAAGUCGGCCAGUGCUGGAGGGGCCAGGGAGACACUGGGGGAGGAUCGCAGGACAAAGACACUAAGAUUCACGGGAAGAAGCGAAGCCCCUCCCAGGCCUGGUUGGAUGGCAGGGAGCCUUCAGGUCAUGGGGACCUUGCCACAGACAAGAGUUCAACUGGCACAAACAAGCCUGGGAACCAGCACGGGGGACUCUUG
This is a long non-coding RNA of Cercocebus atys (sooty mangabey), 242 nucleotides long. RefSeq lists it as uncharacterized. The record is from RefSeq and is a predicted model, not a curated record. Lineage: Eukaryota; Metazoa; Chordata; Mammalia; Primates; Cercopithecidae. The transcript is spliced from 3 exons.